UACGGGGGGGGCAAGCGUUGUUCGGAAUUACUGGGCGUAAAGGGUUCGUAGGUGGCCAACUAAGUCAGACGUGAAAUCCCUCAGCUUAACUGGGGAACUGCGUCUGAUACUGGUUGGCUUGAGUGCAGGAGAGGAACGCGGAAUUCCAGGUGUAGCGGUGAAAUGCGUAGAUAUCUGGAGGAACACCGGUGGCGAAGGCGGCAUCCUGGACCGGCAUUGACGCUGAGGCGCGAAAGCCAGGGGAGCAAACGGG
RNAcentral lists this ribosomal RNA (253 nucleotides) under uncultured bacterium. Its description in RNAcentral is "partial 16S ribosomal RNA". It matches the Rfam family "Bacterial small subunit ribosomal RNA", at positions 524 to 776 of the family's 1533-position model. The record is from RNAcentral.